This 447-nucleotide ribosomal RNA is filed under the name uncultured bacterium. Its description in RNAcentral is "bacterial SSU rRNA". It matches the Rfam family "Bacterial small subunit ribosomal RNA", at positions 958 to 1398 of the family's 1533-position model. The record is from RNAcentral.
AACGCGAAGAACCUUACCUGGGUUUGACAUGCUAGGAUUAUCCCUGUGAAAGCAGGGUAGGCCCUUCGGGGUACAACUAGUACAGGUGCUGCAUGGCUGUCGUCAGCUCGUGUCGUGAGAUGUCGGGUUAAGUCCCUUAACGAGCGAAACCUUUGCCCUUAGUUACCAUCGAGUAAAGUCGGGGACUCUAAGGGGACUGCCGGUGUCAAACCGGAGGAAGGUGGAGAUGACGUCAAGUCCUCAUGGCCUUUAUGCCCAGGGCUACACACGUGCUACAAUGGAGUGCAUAAAGCGAACCUAAAGCGCAAGCUCAUGGAAAUCGCAAAAAUCACUCCCCAGUUCAGAUCGGAGGCUGCAACUCGCCUCCGUGAAGUUGGAAUCGCUAGUAAUCGCGGAUCAGCUACGCCGCGGUGAAUGUGUUCCCGGGCCUUGUACACACCGCUAGUC